RNAcentral lists this ribosomal RNA (465 nucleotides) under Vreelandella stevensii. Its description in RNAcentral is "partial 16S ribosomal RNA". It matches the Rfam family "Bacterial small subunit ribosomal RNA", at positions 338 to 795 of the family's 1533-position model. Lineage: Bacteria; Pseudomonadati; Pseudomonadota; Gammaproteobacteria; Oceanospirillales; Halomonadaceae. The record is from RNAcentral.
CCUACGGGAGGCAGCAGUGGGGAAUAUUGGACAAUGGGGGGAACCCUGAUCCAGCCAUGCCGCGUGUGUGAAGAAGGCCCUCGGGUUGUAAAGCACUUUCAGUGAGGAAGAACGCCUGGUGGUUAAUACCCAUCAGGAAAGACAUCACUCACAGAAGAAGCACCGGCUAACUCCGUGCCAGCAGCCGCGGUAAUACGGAGGGUGCGAGCGUUAAUCGGAAUUACUGGGCGUAAAGCGCGCGUAGGUGGCUUGAUAAGCCGGUUGUGAAAGCCCCGGGCUCAACCUGGGAACGGCAUCCGGAACUGUCAAGCUGGAGUGCAGGAGAGGAAGGUAGAAUUCCCGGUGUAGCGGUGAAAUGCGUAGAGAUCGGGAGGAAUACCAGUGGCGAAGGCGGCCUUCUGGACUGACACUGACACUGAGGUGCGAAAGCGUGGGUAGCAAACAGGAUUAGAUACCCCAGUAGUC